AGUGAACGCUGGCGGUAGGCCUAACACAUGCAAGUCGAACGGCAGCACAGUAAGAGCUUGCUCUUACGGGUGGCGAGUGGCGGACGAGUGAGGAAUACAUCGGAAUCUACUUUUUCGUGGGGGAUAACGUAGGGAAACUUACGCUAAUACCGCAUACGACCUACGGGUGAAAGCAGGGGAUCUUCGGACCUUGCGCGAUUGAAUGAGCCGAUGUCGGAUUAGCUAGUUGGCGGGGUAAAGGCCCACCAAGGCGACGAUCCGUAGCUGGUCUGAGAGGAUGAUCAGCGACACUGGAACUGAGACACGGUCAAUACUCCUACGGGAGGCAGCAGUGGGGAAUAUUGGACAAUGGGCGCAAGCCUGAUCCAGCCAUACCGCGUGGGUGAAGAAGGCCUUCGGGUUGUAAAGCCCUUUUGUUGGGAAAGAAAAGCAGCAGGUUAAUACCCCGCUGUUCUGACGGUACCCAAAGAAUAAGCACCGGCUAACUUCGUG
This 492-nucleotide ribosomal RNA is filed under the name uncultured bacterium. RNAcentral describes it as "partial 16S ribosomal RNA". It matches the Rfam family "Bacterial small subunit ribosomal RNA", at positions 29 to 507 of the family's 1533-position model. The record is from RNAcentral.